Molecule: ribosomal RNA, 467 nt
Filed under: uncultured bacterium
Lineage: Bacteria
Description: partial 16S ribosomal RNA
Rfam family: Bacterial small subunit ribosomal RNA
Source: RNAcentral
GACGAACGCUGGCGGCGUGCUUAACACAUGCAAGUCGAACGGAAAGGCCCUGCUUUUGUGGGGUGCUCGAGUGGCGAACGGGUGAGUAACACGUGAGUAACCUGCCCUUGACUUUGGGAUAACUUCAGGAAACUGGGGCUAAUACCGGAUAGGAGCUCCUGCUGCAUGGUGGGGGUUGGAAAGUUUCGGCGGUUGGGGAUGGACUCGCGGCUUAUCAGCUUGUUGGUGGGGUAGUGGCUUACCAAGGCUUUGACGGGUAGCCGGCCUGAGAGGGUGACCGGCCACAUUGGGACGGAGAUACGGCCCAGACUCCUACGGGAGGCAGCAGUGGGGAAUAUUGCACAAUGGGCGGAAGCCUGAUGCAGCAACGCCGCGUGCGGGAUGACGGCCUUCGGGUGGUAAACCGCUUUCGCCUGUGACGAAGCGUGAGUGACGGUAAUGGGGAAAGAAGCACCGGCUAACUACGU